UCAUUCAUCAUGUCUUGUUUCAAGUCAGACAUCAGUUCAUUAAAUUUCUUUAAUAGUCUGCCAAUUUUAUAUCCUAAAAAGUUUCUUAUUUCAAUAAAAUUUCUGAUCUCUUGUCUAAAUAUUUUGAGUGUUUGUAUAUUUUUUAUUUUUUUGUCAGACAUAUAGUAUACUUUAUAUAUAGUGUAACUGAUAAUAGUUAAAAGUAAA
This 207-nucleotide long non-coding RNA is filed under the name Mytilus galloprovincialis (Mediterranean mussel). The record is from RNAcentral. Lineage: Eukaryota; Metazoa; Mollusca; Bivalvia; Mytilida; Mytilidae.